Molecule: ribosomal RNA, 372 nt
Filed under: Coptopteryx brevipennis
Lineage: Eukaryota; Metazoa; Arthropoda; Insecta; Mantodea; Mantidae
Description: partial 12S ribosomal RNA
Source: RNAcentral
AUACCCUAUUAUUUUUAGUGUAAAAUUUAUUGGCCUGAGUAGUAAUAGAUAUAAUCUUUAAACUUAAAGAAUUUGGCGGUAUUAUAGUCUAUUUAGAGGAAUCUGUUAUGUAAUCGAUAGUCCACGUUGAACCUUACUUAUAUUAUUUCUUGUAUAUCGCUGUUUGGAAAAUACUUUUAGGUAUGAAAUUUUCUAGAUAAUAUUUAAUUAAUAAUUCAAGUCAAGGUGCAGUAAUAUUUAAGUUGAAUAAUGGAUUACAAUAAGUUGUAUUUAAAUGGAUAAUGACUUUAAUUUUAUUUUGAAGGUGGAUUUAAAAGUAAUUUUAUAAAGAUUAGUAAAAUGAUUUUUAGCCCUAUAAUAUGUACACAUCGC